GGGGGGGGUUUACUACGCUACUGGCAUCAUAGAAUUUCUUCAAUUCAUGAUGUCGUAAGGGAAAAUAAUGAUAAUACCUUACUAAUAGUGUCGUCCAAAUCUGGUGCCAGAAGACUCGGUAAGACCAGAGACGCAAACGUUAAUCAUCUUAAACAGGCGUAAAGGGUUUGUAGGCGGUUUUCAUAAGGCUAUGAUUAAACAAAUAAAGUAGUCUAAUUGGAAACUAGAAUCAAAAAGAGGUUAUAGUGUAGAACGCUUAGAGGAGGGCUGAUAUCCGUAGAUCCUAAGCAGAAUACUAAGUGCGAAGGCCACUUUCCAUUAAUGAUUGACGCUGAGAAACGAAGGUUAGGGUAGGAAAUAGGAUUAGAUACCCCGGUACUCCUUUCUGUAAACGAUGAAUGGUAGUCUUUAGUUUAAGUUAAACUAGAGGCGAAGUUAACACGAUAACCAUUCCGCCUUGUGAGUACUACUGCAAAGUAGAAAACAAAAAAAUUAGUCGGUCUCGAAGCAAACGGAGUGAAGCAUGUUAUUUAAUUCAAUUAAUCCGCCA
RNAcentral lists this ribosomal RNA (550 nucleotides) under Trametes ellipsospora. RNAcentral describes it as "SSU rRNA". It matches the Rfam family "Bacterial small subunit ribosomal RNA", at positions 45 to 965 of the family's 1533-position model. Lineage: Eukaryota; Fungi; Basidiomycota; Agaricomycetes; Polyporales; Polyporaceae. The record is from RNAcentral.